Caenorhabditis elegans is the source of this 144-nucleotide non-coding RNA. Lineage: Eukaryota; Metazoa; Nematoda; Chromadorea; Rhabditida; Rhabditidae. The record is from Ensembl.
GGGGCAAUUCAGUGAUAAACUGUUUGGCAACAACUUGCUCGUUUGUCCCGCUAACCAAAACAUCGUGACCGUACAAAUCAGCUAAUAAACGGUCUAAUCCGUUGCUCAAAUUCUGUGCGGCGCGCUUGCUCUUGGAGAAGAACG